Long non-coding RNA from Heterocephalus glaber (naked mole-rat), 3020 nucleotides. The record is from Ensembl. Lineage: Eukaryota; Metazoa; Chordata; Mammalia; Rodentia; Bathyergidae.
GCCCUGUGUGGGUGGGGUCACAGAUGCCUUAUUAUAGCCCAAAUCCCCCCUGAAAAAAGCAAUCAGGGCUUCAAUAAAUCAAUUAACCAGUUAAUUAGCUCACAGAACGACAAAAGCCCAACUGAUAAAUCAGAUUUACCCUUUUAUGAGGAUUGUCCUCUGCUAAUUUAAGGAGUUCCGUGACUUACCCAGAAGCCUCUGUCAGGGCCUCCUGGAUUGUCCAUGUCCAGGGCUCUGGGCGCCACCACCGCUCAUGGGUGACCUUGAGAACGCUGUCUCUACGCCAGGUUAGUGACAGAGAGCUGACGCACAGAGGGUGGACUGAACAUGGCUGCUUUCACUCUCGAUCCAAGGGACCUUUCACAAGGCAAGGCUUCCAGAGCCCUGGAUAAAGAGAACGGGAGACAGGGCGGCAACAAAGCUGGCAAGGAGCGGAAGUGGUACCCGAGGCCGAGGCCCAGGUCGGCUCCACCGUGUCUCCCUGAGGAAAGCCAAGCUGGGGCUCAGGUGGGCAAAGAGCAGCAGCAAAGACUGACGAUGUGGUGGACGGUGCAGCAGGAAUCCCAGGUGCUCUCCUCACCCCACGGCCUGGGCACUGUCAGCCCCUGUCCAAAGCCUGCGGCCUACCCUCGGGCCCGGGUCAAAUCCAGGCCCCCGCCCUGGGGUGCAGAGCCAAGCUGACAACAGGGGUGCGGGUGCGUGCACCAGGCCCUCCCAGCCUCUUCCCCCCUCAUCUCCUCUGGAGGCAGCUCUGAUAAAGGUCAAAAUGUGUGGGCCAGGGAUUUAGCUCAGUGGUUCCACCGCCUGCCCUGCAAGCGAAAGGACCCAAGUUCGACCCCCUGUACAAAAAAAAACAAAACCAGAAAGAAUACUUCCUACCAAGUUAGGGAUAGUCUUUUAAAUUUUCAACUUGCUUGAUGUUGAUACCCAGUUAAAUUUCUCCCAGGAGAAAGAAAGGAAAUGGGACUAAAGAAGACACUCAGUGGGCCCUUCAGGCACCCAGAGAGCUGGUGGGAAGGGGCAUCGGAAGGGGAGGGAGACAGGGAAAUGGCACUCUUGCGGGGACAGGAGAGACCCCUCACUUCCCUGCAUAUACAGUAAUGCUUUCAUGGUCUCAGCUGGAAGUGGCCCGGCUCCCUGCUGACUCGGGCACCAGCACUGUCACCCAUGGUGCCCGUGGCUUUCUGAAAGGCUUCAGCUUGCCAUCCUGAAGACCCUGCCACCGAACACCCAGAAAGCACAGCAGCUUCCUCCGUGGGGUCUGGCCACCUCAGCUAGCUACGAUUUCAGGGCUUGCUGGAUGCACCCACAGCCUGCACUCCCGUGGUUUAAGUCUGCAGCGUGGACACGAUGAGCAGACAGACCCGCCUCGUCCUCAGCAAUGGAGACCAUGCUUCUGUGUCCGUGCUCGGCCUGGCCUCUCACCUGCCUCUGCAUCUCUUCCAUCUGUCUUCUCGGGAUGCUCUGCAGGACACCAUACAUGUCAGCUAUCUUCUCUUCCGGCACCACCACAGACGCCCUGGAGAUGACAGCAGGACAGCCGGUGUGCAUCCAACCCUCAGAAGCAGCUCCGGGCCCUCUCUUGUUUCCUUCUCAUGAGCAGAAACAACACCCAGAGCUGCUUCAGCCUCAUGUCUCCCGGAACAUGUUCUCCCCACCUCCCCUUCUCAUGCUGGCCUCCUCUAUGGCAUCAUCUCAGCUGCCUUGAUUCCUCACCUCCCACUCACCCUAUUUAUCUUUCAUUGGCCUCCAUGUCUGAUCCUCUUGGUCACUCAGCACACCACACUCUGCCCUGCCACAGGGCCUUUGUAUGUGAAAUGCCGCCUCCUUACAUACUCUUCUUCCCUUUUCUCUGAUCUUGCUGUAUUAACAAUGACUUGCCAACUGUAGUUCUGUUCAUAAAGCCUUUCAUUCAGUCAACAUUUAUGUACAGGGGCCCUAUUAUAUGCCAGGCCAGCAGAGAGCAAAUCAGACAGGGAAGGUGAGGGCCAAGGAGGCCAUGAGAAUGCCUGAGGGCCAGGGAGUGAAAGGGCCUGAGGACCGGGCAGGCUGGGUUUGUGGCAGAGAACAGCAGGAGCCUGGCAGAGAGAGGGGAGCGUGAGUCACCUUGGAGUAUAGGUGGCUGCUGUGUAAGAACAAAGCAUGGGAAAGCAAGCCCAGGAGCGGGGCGCCUAGCUGGGAAGCCUACCAGAGGAGGAAGAGGAGGAAGAGGAGGGAGGACCCACCCAGGACCCUUCUCUCAGGGCCUCAAGAAGUCUGGGAUGAUCCUUGGAUAGAGGAACUGACUAAAAUCUAAGGCCAUUCCUCCAGCAACCCCUGCCGGUACCCAGCGCACCACGGGCCCUUGGCAAACACUGGUGAACUAAGUCAAUGAUUUCUACUACGUGGAGGGGAAAACUGAGGCUCAAAAAGGGUCAAUCGGCCAUGAUCACAGAUCCAGACAGCACAGAGCUGGUUCCUAUGCUGAGGCUGCUGGCUUCAAACCCAGAGGCCUCCUGCUACUCACCCAUGAUCUAAGCUACCCAAGCAGAUCUGGAUUCUCACAGAGACACCCUUUUACCCCCAGCUCACGGUCACCACCCAGGUGAAGCCCUCCCCGAGCCCUCUCUCUCCUCCUGGCAGCCUAAACAGCAGGGAGGUCUCCUCACUGCAUUUGGUAACUGCUCAUGUACUUGUCUAUCUUCCACCACUAAACCCUGAGCACCCUGGAAGAAAGGCCUGAUUGUUAUUGUCUUCUCAUACCUGAUGGCGCCUGGCAAAUAACAGGUGCUCAAUGGAUAUUUUCAUAGGCGAGUGAAUGCUGGAUGCCGCUCUUCACUUCUCUAAGAUCUAAGAAACAACUUUACACUCUCCUCUCUCAACCAGACUCAGGCUCCUUCCUCUUUUCAGGCUUCCAGAGCCCCUGUGCUAAUAUCUGCUAUGGCAUUUCCACAGCCUGUUGUUCAAGUUGAGCACCCCAAUCCAAAACAUCCAAAUCUGAAAUGCUCCAAAAUCUGAAAUAUUUUUACUGCCAAUACGAU